AUUGAACGCUGGCGGCAGGCUUAACACAUGCAAGUCGAGCGGGGUGUUGGUGCUUGCACUAUCACUUAGCGGCGGACGGGUGAGUAAUGCUUAGGAAUCUGCCUAUUAGUGGGGGACAACAUCUCGAAAGGGAUGCUAAUACCGCAUACGUCCUACGGGAGAAAGCAGGGGAUCUUUAUGACCUUGCGCUAAUAGAUGAGCCUAAGUCGGAUUAGCUAGUUGGUGGGGUAAAGGCCUACCAAGGCGACGAUCUGUAGCGGGUCUGAGAGGAUGGACCGGCAAACUGGGGCUGGGAAACGGCCCAGGAUCCGACGGGGGGCAGCAGGGGGGAAAAUUGGACAAUGGGGGGAACCCUGAUCCAGCCAUGGCGCGUGUGUGAAGAAGGCCUUAUGGUUGUAAAGCACUUUAAGCGAGGAGGAGGCUCUUUUGGUUAAUACCCAAGAUGAGUGGACGUUACUCGCAGAAUAAGCACCGGCUAACUCUGUGCCAGCCGCCGCUGUAA
RNAcentral lists this ribosomal RNA (502 nucleotides) under uncultured bacterium. Its description in RNAcentral is "partial 16S ribosomal RNA". It matches the Rfam family "Bacterial small subunit ribosomal RNA", at positions 30 to 523 of the family's 1533-position model. The record is from RNAcentral.